UACGGAGGGUGCGAACGUUGCUCGGAAUCAUUGGGCGUAAAGCGCGUGUAGGCGGCAUGUCAAGUCGGAUGUGAAAGCCCCGGGCUCAACCCGGGAAGUGCGUCCGAUACUGGCAUGCUAGAGUACGGGAGAGGGUAGCGGAAUUCCCGGUGUAGAGGUGAAAUUCGUAGAUAUCGGGAGGAACACCAGUGGCGAAGGCGGCUACCUGGACCGAUACUGACGCUGAGACGCGAAAGCGUGGGGAGCAAACAGG
This 253-nucleotide unclassified non-coding RNA is filed under the name uncultured Myxococcales bacterium. RNAcentral describes it as "contains 16S-23S intergenic spacer region". It matches the Rfam family "Bacterial small subunit ribosomal RNA", at positions 524 to 776 of the family's 1533-position model. Lineage: Bacteria; Pseudomonadati; Myxococcota; Myxococcia; Myxococcales. The record is from RNAcentral.